GUAUCAUCAUUGCAGCGCGUGCGUCUAGAAACGUUAGAAACAAUAAUAUUGGUCUGAGUAAGUAAAAUAAUAUUACCUAUAAUAUACUGUCGACUAAUAAUUAUAUUAAGCGAUGAAAAAAUAACUCUUGAUUUUACUAUGUUUUUCAUCGUUCAGUUCGAGAGUAUUACCUAUAAAAUAAAGCAUUUUAUUCGAGUUGUCCACUAAAAUAUUGUAAGCCGGUGAAAACCGUGUAGUGCCGAGUGUGUUGGUUAUAAGGGCGGUGGGAGAUGGUGCGGGUCGGACGGUGUGCUCUGUACCAUCGAUAUACAUUUCAUAACAAUAUAAGAACCGGUGUGUUGAGGUCGCCGCGUGUAGUUCGCAAUCAUCAUUUGUUGAGCGCACAUUCGGCCUAGGCGCGGGUUUAUUUGUUUGAUUUUACACACGUACAGUAAAUAAAUCGACUGAGAUGUUGGACGAGAGGAGUAGCUUGACAAAAACAAUCGGCAAGACCAAGGGAGUGUUUCGAAACACUAAGUACGGGUCGACUAAUGACCAGAAACAAGUUAACGUCAUCGACACCAAACAAAAAUACCGAAAAUUAAAUGAAGAUGAUAUGUAUUAUAAUUAUGAGGCGGAUUUGAUGUUAGACUCAGUAAACCGUAGGUACAAGAAAGUCGUGUUCACAACAUAUGCCAUGGGUAUGGCCAUGACCAUUAUUGGAUGUUUAUUGGUGCUUUGAGUAUGAUCUAAAAUUCAAAUAGAACUGUAUACGAACAAUCACAGACUAAAGCACGAUGUCAUUUAAGAAAAAUGUGGACAUUUUUUUUUGUUAUUAUUAUUUAGCAAUGUAGCAUACCUAUUAUAAUAUAUUAUACCUAAUGUGAUAAUGUGUUUUAUGUAUAUAGGGUAAAACGAACCAAACAAGGUAUGUUCGUGAUAUAUUUACAAAAUAUCUCAUUACGUUUUCAAUUUUGGCAAUUUUAUUAGGCCAACAUAUAUUUACGCAACUUGACGAAUAUACGUCAGUCUCUAGUAAUACCACAGCUAAAAUUAGACAGAUUAAUUAUUUUGAGGUUCACUGACGAAUAUCUAAACAGAUAGGUUCGUUAUUAAAGUAUAAAUAAUUAUAUUUAAUAAAAUAAUCUAUAUACGUAUUACGAUUACUCAUAUCACGAAUAUACCUCACUUUAACCAACCAUCAUAAUUAAAUAUUUUAAAUUAUUUUAUACCUAAAUUUUACCUAUCUAAGUUUGCCAAAAAAAUAUAUUGUGAUUAAAAUGUUUUUCUAAACGUGUUUCCUAUAAUGAUUUGUAUCUUUUGUGCCAUAUUGUUUUUAAGUUAUAAACUUUUGUUUAGUUUAUUAGAUUAAAUUUGGUAAAUUAUUAUACAUUUUUAUAAUAAAUUGUAUUUAUUUUAUUCAUAAA
This is a long non-coding RNA of Rhopalosiphum padi (bird cherry-oat aphid), 1406 nucleotides long. RefSeq lists it as uncharacterized. Lineage: Eukaryota; Metazoa; Arthropoda; Insecta; Hemiptera; Aphididae. The transcript is spliced from 2 exons. The record is from RefSeq and is a predicted model, not a curated record.